RNAcentral lists this ribosomal RNA (465 nucleotides) under uncultured bacterium. RNAcentral's name for it is "partial 16S ribosomal RNA". It matches the Rfam family "Bacterial small subunit ribosomal RNA", at positions 28 to 507 of the family's 1533-position model. The record is from RNAcentral.
GACGAACGCUGGCGGCGUGCUUAACACAUGCAAGUCGAACGGAAAGGCCCCUUUGGGGGUACUCGAGUGGCGAACGGGUGAGUAACACGUGAGUAACCUGCCCUUGACUUCGGGAUAACUUCAGGAAACUGGGGCUAAUACCGGAUAGGAAUCCUUGCUGCAUGGUGGGGGUUGGAAAGCUUCGGCGGUUUUGGAUGGACUCGCGGCUUAUCAGCUUGUUGGUGGGGUAGUGGCUUACCAAGGCUUUGACGGGUAGCCGGCCUGAGAGGGCGACCGGCCACAGUGGGACUGAGAUACGGCCCAGACUCCUACGGGAGGCAGCAGUGGGGAAUAUUGCACAAGGGGCGGAAGCCUGAUGCAGCAACGCCGCGUGCGGGAGGACGGCCUUCGGGUUGUAAACCGCUUUCAGCAGGGGCGAAGCUUGUGGUGACGGUACCUGCAGAAGAAGCACCGGCUAACUACGUG